This is a long non-coding RNA of Brienomyrus brachyistius, 271 nucleotides long. RefSeq lists it as uncharacterized. The transcript has 3 exons. NCBI's taxonomy places the organism in Eukaryota, Metazoa, Chordata, Actinopteri, Osteoglossiformes, Mormyridae. The record is from RefSeq and is a predicted model, not a curated record.
UGUACAAACAGGUUCUCACAGACACACACAGGUGUACAAGCAGGUUCUCACAGACACAUACAGGUGUACAAACAGGUUCUCACAGACACACACAGGUGUACAAACAGGUUCUCACAGACACACACAGGUGUACAAACAGGUUCUCACAGACACAUACAGGUGUACAAACAGGUUCUCACAGACACAUACAGGUGUACACACAGGUUCUCACAGACACACACAGGUGUACAAACAGGUUCUCACAGACACACACAGGUGUACAAACAGGUUC